ACUCGUAGACUCCUACGGGAGGCAGCAGUGGGGAAUCUUAGACAAUGGGGCAACCCUGAUCUAGCCAUGCCGCGUGAGUGACAAGGCCUUAGGUCGUAAAGCUCUUUCGCUGGGGAAGAUAAUGACUGUACCCAGUAAAGAAACCCCGGCUAACUCCGUGCCAGCAGCCGCGGUAAUACGGAGGGGUUAGCGUUGUUCGGAAUUACUGGGCGUAAAGCGCGCGUAGGCGGAUCGGAAAGUUGGGGUGAAAUCCCGGGGCUCAACCCCGGAACUGCCUCCAAAACUAUCGGUCUAGAGUUCGAGAGAGGUGAGUGGAAUUCCGAGUGUAGAGGUGAAAUUCGUAGAUAUUCGGAGGAACACCAGUGGCGAAGGCGGCUCACUGGCUCGAUACUGACGCUGAGGUGCGAAAGCGUGGGAGCAAACAGGAUUAGAUACCCUGGUAG
This 443-nucleotide ribosomal RNA is filed under the name uncultured bacterium. RNAcentral's name for it is "bacterial SSU rRNA". It matches the Rfam family "Bacterial small subunit ribosomal RNA", at positions 327 to 793 of the family's 1533-position model. The record is from RNAcentral.